GAUGAACGCUGGCGGCGUGCCUAAUACAUGCAAGUCGAGCGAACAGACGAGGAGCUUGCUCCUCUGACGUUAGCGGCGGACGGGUGAGUAACACGUGGAUAACCUACCUAUAAGACUGGGAUAACUUCGGGAAACCGGAGCUAAUACCGGAUAAUAUAUUGAACCGCAUGGUUCAAUAGUGAAAGACGGUUUUGCUGUAACUUAUAGAUGGAUCCGCGCCGCAUUAGCUAGUUGGUAAGGUAACGGCUUACCAAGGCAACGAUGCGUAGCCGACCUGAGAGGGUGGUCGGCCACACGGGAACUGAGACACGGUCCAGACUCCUACGCGAGGCAGCAGUAGGGAAUCUUCCGCAAUGGGCGAAAGCCUGACGGAGCAACGCCGCGUGAGUGAUAAAGGUCUUCGGAUCGUAAAACUCUGUUAUUCGGGAAGAACAAAUGUGUAAGUAACUAUGCACGUCUUGACGGUACCUAAUCAGAAAGCCACGGCUAACUACGUG
Molecule: ribosomal RNA, 497 nt
Filed under: uncultured bacterium
Lineage: Bacteria
Description: partial 16S ribosomal RNA
Rfam family: Bacterial small subunit ribosomal RNA
Source: RNAcentral